RNAcentral lists this small RNA (621 nucleotides) under Pan troglodytes (chimpanzee). Its description in RNAcentral is "processed transcript". Lineage: Eukaryota; Metazoa; Chordata; Mammalia; Primates; Hominidae. The record is from RNAcentral.
UGAUGAUAUACCAGUAGAGGCAACCGGCAGUAACUGUCCUCCACAUAUUGAGAAUUUUGGCGAUAUUGACAUGGGAGAAAUUAUCAUGGGGAACAUUCAACUUACUCGCUAUACUCGUCCUACUCCAGUGCAAAAACAUGCCAUUCCUAUUAUUAAGGGAAAAAGAGACUUAAUGGCUUGUGCCCAAACAGGAUCUGGGAAAACUGCGGCAUUUCUUUUACCCAUACUGAGUCAGAUAUAUACAGAUGGUCCAGGAGAAGCUUUGAAGGCUGUGAAGGAAAAUGGAAGGUACGGGCGCCGCAAACAAUAUCCAAUAUCCUUGGUUUUAGCCCCAACAAGAGAAUUGGCUGUACAGAUCUAUGAGGAAGCCAGAAAAGUAAAAUAUUCAUUUUAGUGAUUAUUGCUUUUCUUAUUUGUCAAAUGAUGUUGUUAUAGUCACUGACAUGUUCUUUGCUUAAAGUUUUCCUACCGAUCUAGAGUUCGUCCUUGUGUAGUUUAUGGUGGUGCUGAUAUUGGUCAGCAGAUUCGGGACUUAGAACGUGGAUGCCACUUGUUAGUAGCCACUCCAGGACGUCUAGUGGAUAUGAUGGAAAGAGGAAAGAUUGGAUUAGACUUCUGCAA